RNAcentral lists this ribosomal RNA (495 nucleotides) under uncultured bacterium. Its description in RNAcentral is "partial 16S ribosomal RNA". It matches the Rfam family "Bacterial small subunit ribosomal RNA", at positions 28 to 507 of the family's 1533-position model. The record is from RNAcentral.
GACGAACGCUGGCGGCGUGCCUAAUACAUGCAAGUAGAACGCUGAAGGAGGAGCUUGCUCUUCUGGAUGAGUUGCGAACGGGUGAGUAACGCGUAGGUAACCUGCCUGGUAGCGGGGGAUAACUAUUGGAAACGAUAGCUAAUACCGCAUAAGAGUAGAUGUUGCAUGACAUUUGCUUAAAAGGUGCAAUUGCAUCACUACCAGAUGGACCUGCGUUGUAUUAGCUAGUUGGUGGGGUAACGGCUCACCAAGGCGACGAUACAUAGCCGACCUGCGAGGGUGCGCGGCCAAGCUGGGACGAGGGCACGGCCCAGAAUCCUGCGAGAGGCAGAAGUAGGGGAUCUUCGGGGAAGGAAGGAAGGCUGACCGUGGGACGCCGCGUGAGUGCAGAAGGUUGUCAGGUCGUAAAAGUCUGUUAUAAGUGAAGAACGUAUGUGAGAGUGGAAAGUGCACACUGUGACGGUAUCUGACCAGAAAGCGACGGCUAACUACGUG